Carassius carassius (crucian carp) is the source of this 233-nucleotide long non-coding RNA. RefSeq lists it as uncharacterized. Lineage: Eukaryota; Metazoa; Chordata; Actinopteri; Cypriniformes; Cyprinidae. The transcript is spliced from 3 exons. The record is from RefSeq and is a predicted model, not a curated record.
CUGGAGGUUGCUUUGUUGUUGCUGUGAGGAUCGACGGGACACCGCCAUUUUCCCCCCGAAGCUCCGUCUGUCAACAAUAACAGCUGGAGCCACUGCGCUUCCGCUCAGUGCGAGAAGGCUUCCGGUUGGAGGCUAUGCGAGACAGAUGGGAAUCAAGAUUCAUAUCUGAAGAGCUGAAUAUUACAGAAUGCUUCCAGAGGAGAAAAGAUCGAUGUUUAAAAAGUCUUUGAUGG